RNAcentral lists this ribosomal RNA (738 nucleotides) under Bdellovibrio sp. HNCS. RNAcentral describes it as "bacterial SSU rRNA". It matches the Rfam family "Bacterial small subunit ribosomal RNA", at positions 96 to 848 of the family's 1533-position model. The record is from RNAcentral. Lineage: Bacteria; Pseudomonadati; Bdellovibrionota; Bdellovibrionia; Bdellovibrionales; Pseudobdellovibrionaceae.
GGCUGCACGGGUGAGGAACGCGUGGAUAAUCUGCCUUAGAGUGGGGGAUAACUAGUCGAAAGAUUAGCUAAUACCGCAUAAGACCACAGGAGCUGCGGCUCAAGGGGUCAAAGGUUUUUCGCUCUAAGAUGAGUCCGCGUAAGAUUAGCUAGUUGGUGAGGUAACGGCUCACCAAGGCGACGAUCUUUAACUGGUCUGAGAGGAUGAUCAGUCACACUGGAACUGAGACACGGUCCAGACUCCUACGGGAGGCAGCAGUAGGGAAUAUUGCACAAUGGAGGAAACUCUGAUGCAGCGACGCCGCGUGAGUGAUGAAGGCCUUCGGGUCGUAAAGCUCUGUCGCAGGGGAAUAACACAAUGAAUGUACCCUGUAAGAAAGGAUCGGCUAACUUCGUGCCAGCAGCCGCGGUAAGACGAGGGAUCCUAGCGUUGUUCGGAAUUAUUGGGCGUAAAGCGGAUGUAGGUGGCUUUGUAAGUCAGAUGUGAAAGCCCAGGGCUCAACCCUGGAAGUGCAUUUGAUACUGCGAAGCUUGAGUGUCGGAGAGGUUACUAGAAUUGUUGGUGUAGUGGUGAAAUACGUAGAUAUCAACAGGAAUACCGGAGGCGAAGGCGGGUAACUGGCCGAACACUGACACUGAGAUCCGAAAGCGUGGGGAUCAAACAGGAUUAGAUACCCUGGUAGUCCACGCCGUAAACGAUGGAUACUUGUUGUUGGAGGUAUUGACCCCUUCAGUGACG